GGGGAAUAUUGCACAAUGGGCGCAAGCCUGAUGCAGCCAUGCCGCGUGUGUGAAGAAGGCCUUAGGGUUGUAAAGCACUUUCAGUCGUGAGGAAAGGUGUGUGCUUAAUACGUACAUACUGUGACGUUAGCGACAGAAGAAGGACCGGCUAACUCCGUGCCAGCAGCCGCGGUAAUACGGAGGGUCCGAGCGUUAAUCGGAAUUACUGGGCGUAAAGCGCGCGUAGGUGGAUUGGUCAGUCAGAUGUGAAAGCCCAGGGCUCAACCUUGGAACUGCAUCUGAUACUGCUAGUCUAGAAUACAGUAGAGGGUAGUGGAAUUUCCUGUGUAGCGGUGAAAUGCGUAGAUAUAGGAAGGAACACCAGUGGCGAAGGCGACUACCUGGACUGAUAUUGACACUGAGGUGCGAAAGCGUGGGGAGCAAACAGGAUUAGAUACCCUGGUAGUCCACGCCGUAAACGAUGUCUACUAGCCGUUGGAAGACUUGAUCUUUUAGUGGCGAAGCUAACGCGAUAAGUAGACCGCCUGGGGAGUACGGCCGCAAGGUUAAAACUCAAAUGAAUUGACGGGGGCCCGCACAAGCGGUGGAGCAUGUGGUUUAAUUCGACGCAACGCGAAGAACCUUACCAACUCUUGACAUCCAGAGAAGAGGCUAGAGAUAGCUUUGUGCCUUCGGGAACUCUGAGACAGGUGCUGCAUGGCUGUCGUCAGCUCGUGUUGUGAAAUGUUGGGUUAAGUCCCGUAACGAGCGCAACCCUUGUCCUUAUUUGCCAGCACGUAAUGGUGGGAACUCUAAGGAGACUGCCGGUGACAAACCGGAGGAAGGUGGGGACGACGUCAAGUCAUCAUGGCCCUUACGAGUUGGGCUACACACGUGCUACAAUGGCCGGUACAGAGGGCUGCAAACCUGCGAAGGUAAGCUAAUCUCACAAAACCGGUCGUAGUCCGGAUUGGAGUCUGCAACUCGACUCCAUGAAGUCGGAAUCGCUAGUAAUCGUGGAUCAGAAUGCCACGGUGAAUACGU
This 1023-nucleotide ribosomal RNA is filed under the name uncultured bacterium. Its description in RNAcentral is "bacterial SSU rRNA". It matches the Rfam family "Bacterial small subunit ribosomal RNA", at positions 356 to 1371 of the family's 1533-position model. The record is from RNAcentral.